Regulatory RNA element from Pediococcus claussenii ATCC BAA-344, 126 nucleotides. It matches the Rfam family "Ribosomal protein L20 leader". Rfam says of the family: This family is a putative r-protein leader autoregulatory structure found in B. subtilis and other low-GC Gram-positive bacteria. It is located in the 5' untranslated regions of mRNAs encoding initiation factor 3 followed by ribosomal proteins L35 and L20 (infC-rpmI-rplT). NCBI's taxonomy places the organism in Bacteria, Bacillati, Bacillota, Bacilli, Lactobacillales, Lactobacillaceae. The record is from Rfam.
GGGAUUAAGCAGAAGCCACCGCUUCUCGCCUUGUGACAUUAAGUUGCCGGGCUAAAAACGUUGAAGACUAUAUUGUAUAGUCGUGAAGCGGGGUGGCAUUGUGCCAUUCCGCUUUUCUGCUGUCUC